This 453-nucleotide ribosomal RNA is filed under the name Aciculoconidium aculeatum. RNAcentral's name for it is "eukaryotic LSU rRNA". It matches the Rfam family "Eukaryotic large subunit ribosomal RNA", at positions 62 to 515 of the family's 3401-position model. Lineage: Eukaryota; Fungi; Ascomycota; Pichiomycetes; Serinales; Debaryomycetaceae. The record is from RNAcentral.
AAACCAACAGGGAUUGCCUUAGUAACGGCGAGUGAAGCGGCAAAAGCUCAAAUUUGAAACCGUUCGCGGGUUGUAAUUUGUAGAUAGGUACUGGAUUUUACGAAAGUUCCUUGGAAAAGGACGUCAUAGAGGGUGAUAACCCCGUCGUUUUUUAUCUAUAGUACCUUAUCGAAGAGUCGAGUUGUUUGGGAAUGCAGCUCAAAGUGGGUGGUAAACACCAUCUAAAGCUAAAUAUUGGCGAGAGACCGAUAGCGAACAAGUACAGUGAUGGAAAGAUGAAAAGCACUUUGAAAAGAGAGUGAAAUAGUACGUGAAAUUGUUGAAAGGGAAGGGUAGGGUGGUAGUUGGAAAAAGAGGUGGAUAUGGUGAGGAUAAACAUUGGUCACUCAGUCUCGGUUGCAUUCCAAACAUACUCGCUACGCUCGUCUUUUUGUCAUAAUACCACUCCACCAC